AUGUUCCAGAACACAACGUAGGUUGUUAAUAUGACUAUGACUUGUGUCUUUGGCUGCUGGACAACAAAAGAAAGUUGAAAACAUGAGAGCUGGUUUCAAUGACAUAGGAGGAAGUGUUUAUAAAAGAAUCCCUCUUUUAAUAUAUUCCUGUGUUCGGAACACCGUAAGAUUUUUACCCCCCCCCCCAAAAAAAAAGUACGCCCAGAUUUUUAAACAAUUACGUUUAUGGUUUAAUAGUUUCCAAAAUGUUGACUGCCUCCGUUCAGAUGGCGAUGUUGUGGUGAUGUUGCGGCUCACAACACAUAACAGGGCUUCAAGUAAGACAGAAUCGAGCUUUCAGACGGUAAUAUUAAUGAUCCUACAUUAUAUUAUUAUUAUUUAUGGACGUUUACAUACACUUAUAUUUUUCUUAACAGAAUAGCUACUGUUUUUGGCUUUCAAAUCAAUUUAAUUUGCUAUUUGGUUUAUGGACUUGGUGCCCUAGCAGAGGGCCUUGGUGCCCUAUCAGAGGGCCGUGGUGCCCUAGCAGGUACCCUUGGUGCCCUAUCAGAGGGCCGUGGUGCCCUAGCAGGUACCCUUGGUGCCCUAUCAGAGGGCCGUGGUGCCCUAGCAGGUACCCUUGGUGCCCUAUCAGAGGGCCGUGGUGCCCUAGCAGGUACCCUUGGUGCCCUAUCAGAGGGCCGUGGUGCCCUAGCAGGUACCCUUGGUGCCCUAUCAGAGGGCCGUGGUGCCCUAGCUGAUACCCGUGGUACCCUAGCAGAGGGCCGUGGUGCCCUAGCAGAGGGCCGUGGUGCCCUAGCAGAGGGCCGUGGUGCCCAAGCAGAGGGCCGUGGUGCCCUAGCUGAUACCCUUGUUGCCCUAGCAGGUACCAUUGGUGCCCUAGCAGAGGGCCGUGGUGCCCUAGCAGAGGGCCGUGGUGCCCUAGCAGGUACCCGUGGUGCCCUAUCAGAGAGCCGUGGUGCCCUAGCAGAGGGCCUUGGUGCCCUAGCAGAGGCCCCUUGGUGCCCUAACAGAGGGCCAUGGUGCCCUAGCAGAGGGCCGUGGUGCCCUAGCUGAUACCCUUGGUGCACUAGCAGAGGCACCUUGUUGCCCUAGCAGGUACCCUUGGUGCCCUAGCAGAGGGCCGUGGUGCCCUAGCAGAGGGCCGUGGUGCCCUAGCAGAUACACUUGGUACCCUAGCAGAUACACUUGGUACCCUAGCAGAUACCCUUGGUACCCUAGCAGAUACCCUUGGUACCCUAGCAGAUACCCUUGGUGUCCUAGCAGAAGGCCUUGGUGUCCUACUAGCAG
Oncorhynchus keta (chum salmon) is the source of this 1290-nucleotide long non-coding RNA. RefSeq lists it as uncharacterized. The transcript is spliced from 3 exons. Lineage: Eukaryota; Metazoa; Chordata; Actinopteri; Salmoniformes; Salmonidae. The record is from RefSeq and is a predicted model, not a curated record.